GACGAACGCUGGCGGCGUGCUUAACACAUGCAAGUCGAACGGAAAGGCCCUGCUUGCAGGGUACUCGAGUGGCGAACGGGUGAGUAACACGUGGGUGAUCUGCCCUGCACUUCGGGAUAAGCCUGGGAAACUGGGUCUAAUACCGGAUAGGAGCCAUUUUUAGUGUGAUGGUUGGAAAGUUUUUUCGGUGUAGGAUGAGCUCGCGGCCUAUCAGCUUGUUGGUGGGGUAAUGGCCUACCAAGGCGGCGACGGGUAGCCGGCCUGAGAGGGUGGACGGCCACAUUGGGACUGAGAUACGGCCCAGACUCCUACGGGAGGGAGCAGUGGGGAAUAUUGCACAAUGGGCGCAAGCCUGAUGAAGCGACGCCGCGUGGGGGAUGACGGCCUUCGGGUUGUAAACUCCUUUCGCUAGGGACGAAGCUUUUUGUGACGGUACCUAGAUAAGAAGCACCGGCUAACUACGUG
Molecule: ribosomal RNA, 465 nt
Filed under: uncultured bacterium
Lineage: Bacteria
Description: partial 16S ribosomal RNA
Rfam family: Bacterial small subunit ribosomal RNA
Source: RNAcentral